Cervus elaphus (red deer) is the source of this 370-nucleotide long non-coding RNA. RefSeq lists it as uncharacterized. The transcript is spliced from 3 exons. NCBI's taxonomy places the organism in Eukaryota, Metazoa, Chordata, Mammalia, Artiodactyla, Cervidae. The record is from RefSeq and is a predicted model, not a curated record.
AACAGGGAUGAAAAAGCCUGUUUCCACCAAGCAUGCCAACCAAAUAGGAACCAACAGCAAAAUCUGGGGACCAAACUGGGAAUAAAUAGCUGAGAAAUUCAACACAAAGACAGCAAACUUUGGAGCUAAAGCUGACUUACCACAUUAAGUGAAAAGUGAUAUAACCAACUGAAAGAAGAAUUGUAGGAGAAAUGGAUGGAACAAGGUGACUCUGAACUUGAGCCAGGAUAAAGCCAUUCUGAAAAUCCAAACUUCACUCUUUCAUUGUAAUCACUGACUAAAAUGGUGGCCAAGGGCAAACCAGAGAUGGAGAAUUUUGUCACCCACAGAAUUGAGACCACAUUACUUGAAUAAAUGACAUGUUAAGCCA